This 356-nucleotide long non-coding RNA is filed under the name Coturnix japonica (Japanese quail). RNAcentral's name for it is "lncRNA (ENSCJPG00005003306.1)". Lineage: Eukaryota; Metazoa; Chordata; Aves; Galliformes; Phasianidae. The record is from RNAcentral.
CAAUUGUUGUUAUUUGAAGCAAGAACCUCUGAAAAAUGAAUCCUUCCCUCUGGACACAGAAGCCAGGCAGUGUAAUACCGUUCUUCCAGCUCAUGAAUCACAGCUGAAGAACCAGACUUCUGUAUCAGCAGAGACAGAGACACCGUUGGGUUUACAGAAAGUCAGGAUGAAGGAAGCAGGAGCAGCAAAACUCAUUUGGUGUUGUGGCAUGUUUGGCACCCUCUGCAACUACUAUAAGGAAAGGAAGAAACUGCUGGAAGAGAAAGGGAUCAGCUGUGUUAAGGAAAAGACGAUAUGAAUUAAAAUUAAUUAUGAAUGUUAAUACUUAAAAGAGAAUAAAUCACCUCAGCUUAACA